GGAUGGGUGGCAGAGUGGUCGAUUGCGCUCGCCUGGAAAGCGUGUAUACCGCAAGGUAUCGGGGGUUCGAAUCCCCCCCCAUCCGCCA
Molecule: transfer RNA, 88 nt
Filed under: bacterium
Lineage: Bacteria
Also listed under: 3 other names
Description: tRNA-Ser
Rfam family: tRNA
About the family: Transfer RNA (tRNA) molecules are approximately 80 nucleotides in length. Their secondary structure includes four short double-helical elements and three loops (D, anti-codon, and T loops). Further hydrogen bonds mediate the characteristic L-shaped molecular structure. tRNAs have two regions of fundamental functional importance: the anti-codon, which is responsible for specific mRNA codon recognition, and the 3' end, to which the tRNAs corresponding amino acid is attached (by aminoacyl-tRNA synthetases). tRNAs cope with the degeneracy of the genetic code in two manners: having more than one tRNA (with a specific anti-codon) for a particular amino acid; and 'wobble' base-pairing, i.e. permitting non-standard base-pairing at the 3rd anti-codon position.
Source: RNAcentral